This 91-nucleotide small RNA is filed under the name Salmonella enterica subsp. enterica serovar Cerro. RNAcentral's name for it is "RtT sRNA". It matches the Rfam family "RtT RNA", at positions 24 to 112 of the family's 130-position model. Rfam says of the family: This family represents a bacterial cis-regulatory element known as RtT RNA. The record is from RNAcentral. Lineage: Bacteria; Pseudomonadati; Pseudomonadota; Gammaproteobacteria; Enterobacterales; Enterobacteriaceae.
GAGAAGCUUCGACUAAGGUUCGAUUCGAGCGUCAGCGAGAAAGCGUUGCCGCAGGCAACGACCCGAAGGGCGAAGCGCGCAGCGCUGAGUC